CAUAGUGUCUAAAGCGCUUGGGCUUUUAAUUGAUUAUUUUUUACAACGGCCAAGCUUGCCAUUGGAGAAUUCUUUGAAUUUUCAAACAAAGCCCAAUGCCACAGAAACCCUGCAGAGUCCCUGAAUAAAGCAAUAUUAUACCCCGAAGAAAACAUUUGAUUUCAGGAGCAGCCGUGCUAACAUUCAUCAACAACAUCCUUCACUGCCCCCAGUAGAUGCACAUAAGUGGACUCCUGGUGGACAAGAUUGUCAUGUUCCACAAACUUCUAGUUCUCUCUACACAAGUAUCAAGUUCUCAGACUGCACUUACUGACCAGAGUCAGAGAGCCCACAAAUAAGUCAAAUUAUCAGAAGGCAGUAGCUCUGUACCGGAACCACAGGAGAAGAUAAACAGCCUUUAUGUGCCAACCUGGUUUCCUUAAUACCUUCCAUCUAAAGGAUCUGUGUGCCAAAAUCGGGGAGAUUAUGAUGGCAGGGUAGAAUCAUCUAAGUCACCUUUGCCCCCUGAACACUGUGCAUUGUCUACAGUUGAAUUGCCAACCUUUUAAUCCAAGCUUUUUGAGUGCUUUUCGUGAACAAAAAUAAUAAUAAUGAUAAUGCGUUAAAAGAAUAGCUUCCUAUCCGAACACAUCUUCAGAUCACCGCUGGGUGACCCUUUCAUUCUUCUUGGUGCAGCAGCCCAUAAACAUGAAGGGACAGUAGACAUCUAACAUGCUAGAAAAACGUCUUUAAUCCAACAUGCUGUGACACUAAUGGAAUACAUCUCAGACAUGGUAAUAUUAAACUAUUUGCUUUAACUCUUCCCGUUGCUGGCAAUCGCACUGUGACAAGUGUCAUCUUCAACAAGAAGAUAACCUUAAACAUUCCAUUUUGGCAUAAAUAUCUUUUACUAGCAAUAAGUAAUCCAAGAAAAACAAGUGCUUCUACAUAGAUUUCCCUUGCAUACACUGACCUAAAGUAAGGAGACCACAAAGACUGACUUAUUAACAAGAUGUUUUGAAGCCAAUACUCAGGAGUGCCUACCCUUCUGAUUUCCAUUUGUAAAUAUUUUCUUUUUUUCUCUGCUUAUAAUGAAAUUUGGAGCGAGUGAGACUUUUGAUUGGCUUUCGCAGGGUUUUUGGUGGCAGGGAGGCAGAAGUUUCCUCAAUCAGGUGUGAGGAUCUGACAUUUGCUCCUAAUUUAUGUAGAGUGUGUAAUAAAAUGUUUGAUGUAGGACUUAUGUAUACAUUUGCACUAUCUAUUCUAUCGGUAUUUCAUUAGUAUUCAAAGACUAAAAGGGUUUGAUCUCUCUUCCUGUAUGGAAGAUGGGAAUGGGACCCUUUGAAAUCCAGCUAACAGAGUGUUUCUUAUUGUCACCUGAGAUCUGUGACAAAAACAUUCCAGAACGUGUUUCCAAAGGGAUUGUAGUCAGGCCAAGGAAAACAGUUGGCGGCAACUCGCUAAAUUGAGACAAGUCUAAACAAACAAAAAGCUAAGACACAAAGCCAAACAUUUCAGGAACCAAGAAGAUUCAAUGAGAGAAAAGAUUUAAAGUAGAAGAAAGUGGGUGACCCAAGUGAAUUCUCUUAUUUAGGAUUCUGACCCUUACUCUUGCUUUUUUAGGACACCUAUGGCUCUUGGGCUGGGUGUGUUUGAAGGGGCCAGUUCCGAGUGUACCAUGACUGUCUUCCGUAUGUAGGCUUUGUUAUUUUUACAUGGGGACCCAAACAUCUCAGAGAACACUGCAUUUGGAGAUAGUUUUCAUCCCAUGGAGAGCCUAGAGUAUAAUAAUUUGGAUCAAGAAAGACAGAUAAGUUUUUGGGUAGAUCACAUGAAAAAAGCAUAUGAAAAAAUUUGAAAAUCUUAAGGGGGACUUUCAACAACAUGGAAGACUGAGAGGACAAGGAUGCAAAUUCAAGUGCUGGAAAAAAGAUUUCUCUACCAAUUAUUUAGUACAUAGCUCAAAAAAUGAAAAGGAAAUCCAAAGUGGCAGAAGUUAAGAAAGAAUCCAAAACCAGAACGAGCAAUCAGGAUCUCCAGGGAAAAAUAGGCUCUGCAGAAGAUGAGUUCACAAAUUAAAAAAUUACAAACCACACGAGGAAAUGAAUCACCAUGAAGGAGAGUCAAGACAUAAAAACAAAUGAAAACUAGCUACCCAGGUUUUGAGCAUAACACAUUUGAGACGAUGUAGAUUUUUUAAGAAUUGAAUAGAACUUCUGAAAAUGAA
Molecule: long non-coding RNA, 2206 nt
Organism: Felis catus (domestic cat)
Lineage: Eukaryota; Metazoa; Chordata; Mammalia; Carnivora; Felidae
Exons: 3
Source: RefSeq, a predicted model, not a curated record